UGGGGAAUAUUGGACAAUGGGCGAAAGCCUGAUCCAGCAAUACCGAGUGAGUGACGAAGGCCUUAGGGUUGUAAAGCUCUUUUAGCAAGGAAGAUAAUGACGUUACUUGCAGAAAAAGCCCCGGCUAACUCCGUGCCAGCAGCCGCGGUAAGACGGAGGGGGCUAGCGUUGUUCGGAAUUACUGGGCGUAAAGAGUGCGUAGGUGGUUUAGUAAGUUGGGAGUGAAAUCCCGGGGCUUAACCUCGGAAUUGCUUUCAAAACUACUAAUCUAGAGUGUAGUAGGGGAUGAUGGAAUUCCUAGUGUAGAGGUGGAAUUCUUAGAUAUUAGGAGGAACACCAGUGGCGAAGGCGGUCAUCUGGGCUACAACUGACACUGAUGCACGAAAGCGUGGGGAGCAAACAGG
This 404-nucleotide ribosomal RNA is filed under the name uncultured bacterium. RNAcentral describes it as "bacterial SSU rRNA". It matches the Rfam family "Bacterial small subunit ribosomal RNA", at positions 355 to 776 of the family's 1533-position model. The record is from RNAcentral.